This is a long non-coding RNA of Drosophila willistoni, 838 nucleotides long. RefSeq lists it as uncharacterized. The transcript is spliced from 2 exons. The record is from RefSeq and is a predicted model, not a curated record. Lineage: Eukaryota; Metazoa; Arthropoda; Insecta; Diptera; Drosophilidae.
UAUACGAAAUAUAUAUUUUUUAUAUUACAUUACAUCAAAAUUAAGAACACAUUCUAUAAAAAAUGGUUAAAGGUUACGAAACAUAUACAUAAUCCUUUAUAUCAUAUCAUUGUGCUUUUUAAUGUCCUUUCGGCCAAAGUUACGAAGUACAUAUGAUUAGGCAAAAUAAAAAUAAAUUCUUUUAUUUGGAAAUUUGGCUAAAUUAAAAAAGAAAUCUUUUAAAAAAGAUCCUGUAACCUGUAUCCUGUAAGCGUACCAGUCAUAUCCAAGAUUAUGUGCAGCAAGGCGACAGACCGUCAGCGCAGAUUCUAGGAUUGCAGGAUGCUCACAGGCAUGCUCAUCGGACACACAGCUCAUGUGAAGGACUGCGGAAAAUGAAAGGUUGCGGAUGUUCCAAAAACGCUUGCACACCUCCUGCGUAGCCUUGGCAGCGAUGAGGCUUAGGUACCUAGGAGUCCAUCUGCUGAAAACGCUUCAGGAUGCAGCCAAGCGAACAAUAUACCAACUCUUGACAUUCGUCUGAUACCCAUAUCCUGUAGUCGGUCUAUGUGGGAUGUUCCGGAUGUUCAAGAAACGCUUAGACACAUCCUGUGCAGCCUUGGUAACAAGGCAUAGCUACCCCAUCUAUGAAAUCGCUUCAGGAUGCAGCCAAGCGAACAAUUUAUCAACUCUUGAUGUCCUGUCAGAUAUAAGCCCCCGCUCCCGCACCCCACGGACGAAAAUCUGUCUGUGGGACUCCUAGUGGAUGGCCUGCUUAAACUAACCUAACCUAUAUCUAGAAAAUCUAACCAUUAUAUUUAACAAUUGCAAAGUAAUAACUUCUUUACAUCAAAAUUAA